GGGUUGUGAGGUUAAGCGACUAAGCGUACACGGUGGAUGCCCUGGCAGUCAGAGGCGAUGAAGGACGUGCUAAUCUGCGAUAAGCGCCGGUAAGGUGAUAUGAACCGUUAUAACCGGCGAUUUCCGAAUGGGGAAACCCAGUGUGACUCGUCACACUAUCAUUAACUGAAUCCAUAGGUUAAUGAGGCGAACCGGGGGAACUGAAACAUCUAAGUACCCCGAGGAAAAGAAAUCAACCGAGAUUCCCCCA
RNAcentral lists this ribosomal RNA (250 nucleotides) under Salmonella enterica subsp. enterica serovar Infantis. RNAcentral's name for it is "partial 23S ribosomal RNA". It matches the Rfam family "Bacterial large subunit ribosomal RNA", at positions 1 to 242 of the family's 2925-position model. Lineage: Bacteria; Pseudomonadati; Pseudomonadota; Gammaproteobacteria; Enterobacterales; Enterobacteriaceae. The record is from RNAcentral. RNAcentral also lists the same sequence under 27 other names.